This 301-nucleotide ribosomal RNA is filed under the name uncultured bacterium. RNAcentral's name for it is "partial 16S ribosomal RNA". It matches the Rfam family "Bacterial small subunit ribosomal RNA", at positions 509 to 807 of the family's 1533-position model. The record is from RNAcentral.
CAGUAGCCACGGUAAUACGUAGGUGGCAAGCGUUGUCCGGAAUUAUUGGGCGUAAAGGGCUCGCAGGCGGUUUCUUAAGCCUGAUGCGAAAGCCCCCGGCUCAACCGGGGAGGGUCAUUGGAAACUGGGAAACUUGAGUGCAGAAGAGGAGAGUGGAAUUCCACGUGUAGCGGUGAAAUGCGUAGAGAUGUGGAGGAACACCAGUGGCGAAGGCGACUCUCUGGUCUGUAACUGACGCUGAGGAGCGAAAGCGUGGGGAGCUAACAGGAUUAGAUACCCGAGUAGUCCCUGUCUCUUAUAC